Molecule: long non-coding RNA, 503 nt
Filed under: Callithrix jacchus (white-tufted-ear marmoset)
Lineage: Eukaryota; Metazoa; Chordata; Mammalia; Primates; Cebidae
Description: lncRNA (ENSCJAG00000057339.2)
Source: RNAcentral
CAGGCUGAUUAUUCCCAGGGCUGGGAGGAAAGUUAUUUGCAGAGGAGAACAAGCUCAGGACUCUUCCUAAGAAAGGCUGAGUAAGAAACCGGGUUUCUGACCUCUCUACUCCAGCAAGCUCAGGGUCCUUCCCUCUCUCCUGGCUUUGUGUGUUUGCAUUACUCAUUACGUGGUUUGAAGUUCAGGCUAAGAGCAGCAGCACACUCGCCAAGACACAAGGUUCAAUGGCUUGCUUAGGACACAACGCAGCUCAUAGGUGGAAGGGACUUGCCUUGUCUCAGGUAAGACCUCAGACUGUGGACUCUUUAGUUAAUGCUGAAAUGAGUGAAGACUUUGGGGGAGUGUUGGGAGGGCAUGAUUGUGUUUCAAACUAUGAGAAGAUGAGAUUUGGGAGGGGCCGGGGUGGAAUGAUAUGGUUUGGCUUUGUGUCCCCAUCCAAAUCUCAUCUUGUAGCUCCCAUGAUUCUCAUGUGUUGUUGGAGGAACCCACUGGAAGAUGAUUGA